Molecule: ribosomal RNA, 253 nt
Filed under: uncultured bacterium
Lineage: Bacteria
Description: partial 16S ribosomal RNA
Rfam family: Bacterial small subunit ribosomal RNA
Source: RNAcentral
UACGUAGGGGGCAAGCGUUAUCCGGAUUUACUGGGUGUAAAGGGAGCGUAGACGGUUAUGCAAGUCAGAAGUGAGAGCCCAAAGCUCAACUUCGGGACUGCUUUUGAAACUGUGUAACUAGAGUGCAGGAGGGGUAAGCGGAAUUCCUAGUGUAGCGGUGAAAUGCGUAGAUAUUAGGAGGAACACCGGCGGCGAAGGCGGCUUACUGGACUGUAACUGACGUUGAGGCUCGAAAGCGUGGGGAGCAAACAGG